GACGAACGCUGGCGGCGUGCUUAACACAUGCAAGUCGAACGGAAAGGCCCUGCUUUUGUGGGGUGCUCGAGUGGCGAACGGGUGAGUAACACGUGAGUAACCUGCCCUUGACUUUGGGAUAACUUCAGGAAACUGGGGCUAAUACCGGAUAGGAGCUCCUGCUGCAUGGUGGGGGUUGGAAAGUUUCGGCGGUUGGGGAUGGACUCGCGGCUUAUCAGCUUGUUGGUGGGGUAGUGGCUUACCAAGGCUUUGACGGGUAGCCGGCCUGAGAGGGUGACCGGCCACAUUGGGACUGAGAUACGGCCCAGACUCAUACGGGAGGCAGCAGUGGGGAAUAUUGCACAAUGGGAGGAAGCCUGAUGCAGCAACGCCGCGUGCGGGAUGACGGCCUUCGGGUUGUAAACCGCUUUCGCCUGUGACGAAGCGUGAGUGACGGUAAUGGGUAAAGAAGCACCGGCUAACUACGUG
This 468-nucleotide ribosomal RNA is filed under the name uncultured bacterium. Its description in RNAcentral is "partial 16S ribosomal RNA". It matches the Rfam family "Bacterial small subunit ribosomal RNA", at positions 28 to 507 of the family's 1533-position model. The record is from RNAcentral.